This 236-nucleotide ribosomal RNA is filed under the name uncultured bacterium. RNAcentral's name for it is "partial 16S ribosomal RNA". It matches the Rfam family "Bacterial small subunit ribosomal RNA", at positions 118 to 347 of the family's 1533-position model. The record is from RNAcentral.
UGAGGAACAUGACCUUCGGCGGGGGAGUAGCCGGCCCAACGGCCGGGUAAUACCGCGUACGACCACUUUGGGACAUCCCUAGGUGGUGAAAGCAGCAAUGCGCCGAUGGAGUGCCCCGCGGCCUAUCAGCUAGUUGGUGAGGUAACGGCUCACCAAGGCAACGAUGCGUAGCUGACCUGAGGAGGGUGAUCGGGCCACAUUGGAACUGAGACACGGUCCAGACUCUACGGGAGCAG